ACCCCUAUAGCUCAGUGGUCUCAGAGCAGGCGGCUCUUAACCGUCGGGUCCCUGGUUCGAAUCCAGGUGGGGGUACCA
Molecule: transfer RNA, 78 nt
Filed under: Microbacterium phage Vitas
Lineage: Duplodnaviria; Heunggongvirae; Uroviricota; Caudoviricetes
Description: tRNA-Lys
Rfam family: tRNA
About the family: Transfer RNA (tRNA) molecules are approximately 80 nucleotides in length. Their secondary structure includes four short double-helical elements and three loops (D, anti-codon, and T loops).
Source: RNAcentral